GAUUAAGUUAUUAAGGGCGCACGGUGGAUGCCUUGGCACUAGAAGCCGAUGAAGGACGUUACUAACGACGACAUGCUUUGGGGAGCUGUAAGUAAGCUUUGAUCCAGAGAUUUCCGAAUGGGGAAACCCAGCAUGAGUUAUGUCAUGUUAUCGAUAUGUGAAUACAUAGCAUAUCAGAAGGCACACCCGGAGAACUGAAACAUCUUAGUACCCGGAGGAAGAGAAAGAAAAUUCGAUUCCCUUAGUAGCGGCGAGCGAAACGGGAAGAGCCCAAACCAACAAGCUUGCUUGUUGGGGUUGUAGGACACUCUAUACGGAGUUACAAAGGACGACAUUAGACGAAUCAUCUGGAAAGAUGAAUCAAAGAAGGUAAUAAUCCUGUAGUCGAAAAUGUUGUCUCUCUUGAGUGGAUCCUGAGUACGACGGAGCACGUGAAAUUCCGUCGGAAUCUGGGAGGACCAUCUCCUAAGGCUAAAUACUCUCUAGUGACCGAUAGUGAACCAGUACCGUGAGGGAAAGGUGAAAAGCACCCCGGAAGGGGAGUGAAAUAGAACCUGAAACCGUGUGCUUACAAGUAGUCAGAGCCCGUUAAUGGGUGAUGGCGUGCCUUUUGUAGAAUGAACCGGCGAGUUACGAUUUGAUGCAAGGUUAAGCAGUAAAUGUGGAGCCGUAGCGAAAGCGAGUCUGAAUAGGGCGUUUAGUAUUUGGUCGUAGACCCGAAACCAGGUGAUCUACCCUUGGUCAGGUUGAAGUUCAGGUAACACUGAAUGGAGGACCGAACCGACUUACGUUGAAAAGUGAGCGGAUGAACUGAGGGUAGCGGAGAAAUUCCAAUCGAACCUGGAGAUAGCUGGUUCUCUCCGAAAUAGCUUUAGGGCUAGCCUCAAGUGAUGAUUAUUGGAGGUAGAGCACUGUUUGGACGAGGGGCCCCUCUCGGGUUACCGAAUUCAGACAAACUCCGAAUGCCAAUUAAUUUAACUUGGGAGUCAGAACAUGGGUGAUAAGGUCCGUGUUCGAAAGGGAAACAGCCCAGACCACCAGCUAAGGUCCCAAAAUAUAUGUUAAGUGGAAAAGGAUGUGGCGUUGCCCAGACAACUAGGAUGUUGGCUUAGAAGCAGCCAUCAUUUAAAGAGUGCGUAAUAGCUCACUAGUCGAGUGACACUGCGCCGAAAAUGUACCGGGGCUAAACAUAUUACCGAAGCUGUGGAUUGUCCUUUGGACAAUGGUAGGAGAGCGUUCUAAGGGCGUUGAAGCAUGAUCGUAAGGACAUGUGG
RNAcentral lists this ribosomal RNA (1274 nucleotides) under Staphylococcus aureus. RNAcentral's name for it is "partial 23S ribosomal RNA". It matches the Rfam family "Bacterial large subunit ribosomal RNA", at positions 1 to 1276 of the family's 2925-position model. Lineage: Bacteria; Bacillati; Bacillota; Bacilli; Caryophanales; Staphylococcaceae. The record is from RNAcentral.